This is a long non-coding RNA of Nyctereutes procyonoides (raccoon dog), 354 nucleotides long. RefSeq lists it as uncharacterized. The record is from RefSeq and is a predicted model, not a curated record. The transcript has 3 exons. NCBI's taxonomy places the organism in Eukaryota, Metazoa, Chordata, Mammalia, Carnivora, Canidae.
UUGUUGAAUGCAUGUUGUUGAACAUCAGAAGAAACCCAUCCAGAAUGUAGGCUGCUAUUGAAACGUGGGUGAGAGUGGAUGAAUGAAUACAGAGAGGUUACAGCUCAGUCAGCUCUGAUGUCUUUUUGAAAGUAGGCAUAUCUUUUUAAGAAGGAGCAAUCUGCAAGUGAGUUUGGAAGCAGCUCUCAUGUUCGCCAAAUGCAAACUGCGUUCUGAGAAUACCAAAUGCAGUUCCGAAGCAAUGGAAGAACUCUACUCACAGGGAGUCGUGAUAAAGCAGAGCAUCAGCCCUUUCCGCUCGGAUACCAAUAAGUCUUGCACUUCAAAAUUGCUGGCCUAAAAAGGAUACUUAAG